This 266-nucleotide ribosomal RNA is filed under the name uncultured Staphylococcus sp. Its description in RNAcentral is "partial 16S ribosomal RNA". It matches the Rfam family "Bacterial small subunit ribosomal RNA", at positions 96 to 355 of the family's 1533-position model. Lineage: Bacteria; Bacillati; Bacillota; Bacilli; Caryophanales; Staphylococcaceae. The record is from RNAcentral.
CGGCGGACGGGUGAGUAACACGUGGGUGACCUACCUAUAAGACUGGGAUAACUCCGGGAAACCGGGGCUAAUACCGGAUAACACAUGAAACCGCAUGGUUUCAUGAUGAAAGACGGUUUUGCUGUCACUUAUAGAUGGACCCGCGGCGUAUUAGCUAGUUGGUAAGGUAACGGCUUACCAAGGCAACGAUACGUAGCCGACCUGAGAGGGUGAUCGGCCACACUGGAACUGAGACACGGUCCAGACUCCUACGGGAGGCAGCAGCC